RNAcentral lists this ribosomal RNA (2437 nucleotides) under Triticum aestivum (bread wheat). RNAcentral's name for it is "partial small subunit ribosomal RNA". Lineage: Eukaryota; Viridiplantae; Streptophyta; Magnoliopsida; Poales; Poaceae. The record is from RNAcentral.
GUCUCGCACGCUCGUUGGCUGGGUAAACUUUGUUCGUGUCCCCAAGGGAAUUUGCCAAUCCGCUCCGCCCGCGCGUCAAAACCCUAGCCGCCAGCCCUGCUCGUCCCCUCCUCCCCGCUCCCUCCAUCCUCUCCCAUGUCGUCGCCCCUCUUCUCCCCGCUCGCCUCGGCCGCCUCCUCUCCUCUGCCGUGUCGUCGGCCCCCUCCCCCCUCCUACCUCCUCCUCCCUCCUCCCAGUCCCGUGCCAGCCGCCGCCCAAACCUUAGCCCCCGUUUCCCUCGAUCCCCGCAGUAACCGCAUCCACAGCCACCCGCUCCUUCUCACAGCCGCCGCACCAUUCCUCCCUUCCGCCCCCUCCUCCUUCCCGGAUCCCCACCAAGGCGCCGACCUGCAGGCAAAGGGCGACGAAGAGUGGCAGACGAGGACAACGAGGGAGAGAAAGAAGGGAGAUAAAAAGGAGGCCGGCGGCGAGGCCCAGCGACUAGCGCCUCUCCGCCUCAAGCCCCGGCAUCACCGCCACCAGAUCCACCUCGCAACCUCUCUUCCUCUCCUGUCUGACUGCUGCGUGGUCGCGUCAGGCCCAUGCCAGCGCCGCCGCCGCUGGAUGGUUCCGUCGGUCCCUCCCGCUCCAGAUCGAAAACUGAGAGAGCGACGGGAGGGAAGAAGGGGAUCGGGGGAGGGGAGAGCACGGGAGAGAAGGCGAGCUCGCGGCUGACCGCAGCGUGCGAGGCGGACGGGUGAGAAACAUUUGUCGUCGUGCCGCUGGCGGCUGGAGCUUUGGAAUGCGGCCGUGGCCACUAUUAACAAUUUGUAUUUGCAUUUUCUGAUGAAUUCGUCGAGUUCCUUUCUCUAUAUGCUUAGAUGCUUAUCUGUCGGAAAUUUUGUGUGACAACAGAAGUAACGGUGAUUGGUCUACUGUUCUUUUUUGCUGUCUAAAGUGUUCCUUCAACUAAUCCAGUAACCUGACAUUACUUUGUGUUUAACUAAUAUCAUUCUUAUCACAGUGAGUACAGAUAUUAUUCAGUUAGCCUCCUUUUCGUGGAAGAGGAGUGAAAGUGUAAAGGUGCAUGCUUGGAAGCUUAAAUCUGUAAUCAAGUUAUGAAAUAGAGUGCUGUAAGAGACACUUCUAUAAGCAGAGAUUGGUAUGAUGCUGCGAGGCAUGGGGUUUGACAAUACAACCUUCCUCUACGUUGCCUCCGGUAAAAUAUACAAUGCUGCAAAAUACAUGGGUCCCCUUCGCCGGAUGUUCCCUCUUUUACAAACCAAGGACACUCUUGCAUUGUCUGAAGAGCUUGCUGAGUUUGAGGGGUACUCUUCUCGGUUAGCAGCAUUAGAUUACACCGUCUGUGUUCAGAGCGAAGUGUUUGUGACGACUCAAGGGGGGAACUUCCCUCACUUUUUGAUGGGACACAGGCGUUACCUGUUAGGAGGGAAUGCAAAGACAAUAAAACCCGACAAACGGAAGCUGGUCUUAUCUUUUGACGACCCAAAUAUCAGAUGGAGUCGAUUCAAGCACCACAUGCUGGAAAUACUGCACCAUAGUGACAUAAGGGGCAUCGCAUUCAGGAAACCUAAUGAUUCCAUAUACACCUUCCCAAUGCCUGAUUGCAUGUGCCAACAAGAUGGAAUAUGAUCUAGGCAUUAGCAUACAUAACUGAGGGAUGCAUAUCCUCUGCCUUUGUGCAACAAAGGCACCAAAGGCAUGGCAUUGUUGACUGCAUGAUCAGGGUUUGAUGGUCAUGAUGAAAACUGGAGUGAAAUAAAGCAUUUGGUGCUUCUCAGGAGAUUCUGAAACCCUCUGGCAUACCCCAAACCGUUCGAUUCUGGAUAUAAUGGUCAAAAGGUGCCUAAUGACAAUGAAUUCCAUAGUAUCAGAAAUUGAGAGGAUGCGAGGGAUUUUGUAAAGUUAGUAAUCUGUAGGUAGUCCACCAUAUAGCAAUCUCCAUUUGUUCAAUCUGUAUGUAGGUUGUAAAGAGAAAAGAGCUACGAGAUUGGGUUGUAGAUAUGAGUACAACCUGAGUGCCUCGAUGUAUAUUUGAAAAACAAGGGCUAACAACAACAAAGAAAGGAAAUUUUCAGUAUAUCAUUACUCAUCAGUGCUUGUUCUCGCAUUUCAUCUUGCCCUUGACAAUUCAUAUUUAUGAGCAUGUUCUUACAGUUCAGACCUAAUGUUCUUUUUUCUUUCCUUGGGCACUUCCUCAAGAAUCUUGUUGAGGUGUCUGUUUCCCCUCAUGAAUGAUUGUGAUGGCUGCAGGGUCUUCGCAAGGAGUUGAAGGCAUAUAAAAACCAUGGAUCCUUUGCUCCCCAGGCCGCAAAAUGAUCAUAGUGAUGUCUACGACCUCCUCCUAGAUGUAUUAAUCUCAAUCUCAUGUUUGGUUUUCUUCCCUUUUCUCUUCUAAUGAUGUAAUUUCUUUUACUAAGAUAACACCAUGUAUCCC